RNAcentral lists this ribosomal RNA (282 nucleotides) under uncultured bacterium. RNAcentral describes it as "partial 16S ribosomal RNA". It matches the Rfam family "Bacterial small subunit ribosomal RNA", at positions 524 to 802 of the family's 1533-position model. The record is from RNAcentral.
UACAGAGGUCUCAAGCGUUGUUCGGAUUCAUUGGGCGUAAAGGGUGCGUAGGCGGCGCGGUAAGUCGGGUGUGAAAUCUCGGAGCUUAACUCCGAAACUGCAUUCGAUACUGCCGUGCUUGAGGACUGGAGAGGAGACUGGAAUUUACGGUGUAGCGGUGAAAUGCGUAGAUAUCGUAAGGAAGACCAGUGGCGAAGGCGGGUCUCUGGACAGUUCCUGACGCUGAGGCACGAAGGUCAGGGGAGACGAAACUGGAUAGACGUACCGUGUAGUCCAAGACCA